GCCGGGGGCGUGGCCUGCCCGCUCCGGGCCGGGGGCGCCGCUCUCCCCCGCGCUGGCUGGAGCCGCUCUUUGGCUCGUCUAAAUUUGCUUUUUUUUUUUUUUUAGGUGUCAGUUCUGUGAACGGAGCCACGCACAGUCCAGAGGUUCACAGACGCCUUCAUUCCGUGGGGAAGAUUCUGAAGAUAUUUAAUAUUAACUACAAAGCAUUUCAGAGAUUCUUCAGUGAGAAGGCCUCUCUGUGUUAUUCAUUGCUUUAUUCCUGGCAACAGGCAUAUAUAUACUGGGCUUCAGUAAACAUCUGUUUUAGUUUAUACGGAUUCUUGUCCUCAAUCAUAACGGGACAAAGGUACCGAAAGACAAGACUUCAAGCAAGGGAAAACAAAAUAAGCUACUAAGCAGCAAUAGGAAAUUAAUACUGGUGCUGCCCUAUCUCUGGGUGAUGAGUGAUGGAAUGACAGCAGUUCCAAGGACAACAGAAUGAAUAAUAGGACGUUAGAACACACAGACACCAGAGAUACACAGAGUGACAAUGAGAAGCAGCCAGAUGGUGGCCAGCUGCAAACCAAUGAGAGAGGCCUCAGAGGAAAUCAGCUCUGUCACCAUGUUGAUUUUCUACUUUGUCUCCAGAACUGUGAGAAAAUAAUUUUCUGUUUUUUAAGUCACACAAUUUGUGGUAUUUUGUUAUGGAACCUCAGAAACUAAUAGUCUUGCUAAUUUACUUUUUUUUUAUGUUUUUAAAAAUUUAAAUUCACUUUGCCAACAUAGAACACCCAGUGCUCAUGCUAAUUUGCUACUUUUAUUAGACCUUUCAAAAACCAGCUUUUGCUUUGAUUUUUCUCUAUUUUUUAUUUCAGUGACUUCCAUCCUUUACAAUUUACUGAUUUAAUUAUGGGCCAGCAUUUGGUCUAUGUAGAGACUAAUCCAUAUUCAUUU
This is a long non-coding RNA of Canis lupus familiaris (dog), 933 nucleotides long. RefSeq lists it as uncharacterized. Lineage: Eukaryota; Metazoa; Chordata; Mammalia; Carnivora; Canidae. The transcript has 5 exons. The record is from RefSeq and is a predicted model, not a curated record.